GAUCCUGGCUCAGGACGAACGCUGGCGGCGCGCUUAACACAUGCAAGUCGAGCGAUGAAAUCUUAACAGAACCCUUCGGGGCGAAGAUAAGAGGGAUUAGCGGCGGACGGGUGAGUAACACGUGAGUAACCUGCCUUUUACACAGGGAUAGCCUCGGGAAACCGGGAUUAAAACCUGAUGAAACUAUCAAAUCACAUGAUUAAGAAAGUUAAAACUCCGGUGGUAAAAGAUGGACUCGCGUCCCAUUAGCUAGUUGGUGAAGG
This 263-nucleotide ribosomal RNA is filed under the name uncultured bacterium. RNAcentral describes it as "partial 16S ribosomal RNA". It matches the Rfam family "Bacterial small subunit ribosomal RNA", at positions 15 to 258 of the family's 1533-position model. The record is from RNAcentral.